GGGGGGCGUGCUAUAAUGCAAGUCGAGCGCGGGAAGCGAGUGGAUCCCUUCGGGGUGAAGCUCGUGGAACGAGCGGCGGACGGGUGAGUAACACGUGGGCAACCUGCCUGUAAGAUCGGAAUAACCCCGGGAAACCGGGGCUAAUGCCGGGUAAUACUUUCUUUCGCAUGAAGGAAAGUUGAAAGAUGGCUUCUCGCUAUCACUUACAGAUGGGCCCGCGGCGCAUUAGCUAGUUGGUGAGGUAACGGCUCACCAAGGCGACGAUGCGUAGCCGACCUGAGAGGGUGAUCGGCCACACUGGGACUGAGACACGGCCCAGACUCCUACGGGAGGCAGCAGUAGGGAAUCUUCCGCAAUGGACGAAAGUCUGACGGAGCAACGCCGCGUGAACGAUGAAGGUCUUCGGAUCGUAAAGUUCUGUUGUUAGGGAAGAACAAGUACCGUGCGAAUAGAGCGGUACCUUGACGGUACCUAACGAGGAAGCCCCGGCUAACUACGUGCCAGCAGCCGCGGUAAUACGUAGGGGGCAAGCGUUGUCCGGAAUUAUUGGGCGUAAAGCGCGCGCAGGCGGUUCCUUAAGUCUGAUGUGAAAGCCCACGGCUCAACCGUGGAGGGUCAUUGGAAACUGGGGAACUUGAGGACAGAAGAGGAGAGUGGAAUUCCACGUGUAGCGGUGAAAUGCGUAGAUAUGUGGAGGAACACCAGUGGCGAAGGCGACUCUCUGGUCUGUUUCUGACGCUGAGGUGCGAAAGCGUGGGUAGCAAACAGGAUUAGAUACCCUGGUAGUCCACGCCGUAAAC
RNAcentral lists this ribosomal RNA (800 nucleotides) under Halobacillus sp. JSM 101028. RNAcentral describes it as "bacterial SSU rRNA". It matches the Rfam family "Bacterial small subunit ribosomal RNA", at positions 37 to 807 of the family's 1533-position model. The record is from RNAcentral. Lineage: Bacteria; Bacillati; Bacillota; Bacilli; Caryophanales; Bacillaceae.